AUGAAUUGUUGCUGUAUCAGCAGUGGCCAGGAAAUUUUCCUGACAUGCUAGAAAAACAUCCGCAGAAACAAAUAUUUACAAUAUGAUUUUUAAAAAGAAUUUUUGAACACUGUUCCCAGGGAUGUAUGUGUGGGUGUGGUACAGCGGGAAGCAGAUGAAAAAGGGAAUCCUUUAUCCAUACAUAGCGCUGACAAUUAUGGCUAAAUGUAGGAUUUACAGCUGAACAUAUUGUUUGGUUUUGUUUUGGCAGCAAAUCCAGAUGAUAGGGUAUUAUGUUGAUCUUCUGAUAGCUAGGAUUACCUAUGAACUGCUGGCUCAGAACAGAGCUCAUUUCUAUGAAACAGCAAGCACUGACCACUGCCUGAGGCAGUCUUCUAGAUGAGCUGAGGAAUGCAGAAGCCAAGAAGUGACUGGUGGAGUAAUGCAAAGAGGGGACCAAGAACAGAGCUCAAAUCUCCCAAAACUCAGCCACUUCAUUUGUUUCUCAGGAUAGCACAAACCGCCCCCUCCAAACAUUUCUCAACUGGAAGACCUGCUGUGGAAACCUGCAGCACUAACUACAAUCACAGUUUCCCACAACAUACAGACCUAUGUUAUCAGUGGGUGUGGGAAGAGGACAGUGCUAAUUGUAGGCCCUGCACAUCCUCUCCCUCCCAUGAAGGCUCCCAAGAAGGCUGUGGUGUCUGUCCCUACAGAUGCACUUUUCCUACCUUUCUGUGGCAACCACACUGGAAGCUGAAUUGAUUUAUGCAGUUCCAGAAAGAAUUCAACAUGGAGCAGCCUUAAAAGGAUUAAUCUCAGGGCUUUAGGUCAGCCUUAUGUCCUUUCUUAUACCUCUUUUUACACAGAGUUCACCUGUAGUGUUUCUCACAACGGCAAAUAGUGGAUAGUCUGACUAGCAUAAGAGAGUCACAGGCCUAUACCACUAAGUGGAAACAUGAAAAUACUUCAAGAUAAAGAGUAAUUACAGAAAAACCCUCCUUUUGUCUUUCUUAUGCCUCUGGAGGACUCCUGACAUGACGUAAGUGUACUUUCUCUCUGACCUGCUGCCACCCAGGUGAGGUACAUAGAGACGAAUUUCACUUGUAAGGCAGACAUCUGACCUG
Long non-coding RNA from Empidonax traillii (willow flycatcher), 1106 nucleotides. RefSeq lists it as uncharacterized. Lineage: Eukaryota; Metazoa; Chordata; Aves; Passeriformes; Tyrannidae. The transcript is spliced from 4 exons. The record is from RefSeq and is a predicted model, not a curated record.